RNAcentral lists this long non-coding RNA (1242 nucleotides) under Chinchilla lanigera (long-tailed chinchilla). RNAcentral's name for it is "lncRNA (ENSCLAG00000024506.1)". The record is from RNAcentral. Lineage: Eukaryota; Metazoa; Chordata; Mammalia; Rodentia; Chinchillidae.
CACAUCUGUGCAGACCCAGUUCCCAAACAAGGUCACGUCUCAGGUACCCAAGGUUGUGUCUUUUGCAGUCCACACCAGGCAGUCACUGGAGGGUGUGCAAGAGCCUGAGAUGUCCCCAAGGCCAACUUCACCAUCUGAUCCUGAGUUCCACCCACUUGCUUAGAGUACGACAUUCUGGGCGACCAAGCUCCGAAGGAUCACAUAGAAAAGGGAACACCACCGAAGACUUCCGGGGAGACUUAGGGAAGCCGCAAAGGAACGGAGAGGCCAGAGAGCGCAGACACACACUCACACCGCCAGUCAGAAGUGCAGCUGGGAUUCACAGAGAGACCUUCCGAAGCAAGAACCUGGCCCCUCGCCAACCCACUGCAGGCUGUUUGCAGCGCUCUGAGGGAGCAGUUUGCCCUCUUGGCACUGCCCACCCUUUGUGCGUCAGCUACCAUGAAUCAUUCCAGCAGGGGCAAAACCCUAGUGGAUGAGCAAGAUCAACACUUGCGCAAAUGUCCAGUCCAACAGAACAUCAAAGAGUAUGCCAGUCCUGCACAAAGGACCUGCAAAUGUCCCUGCUAUUGGUAGAGUCUAAGAACAUGAGCCUCAUGCUUGUGCCCUGUGUAUCAGUCACCUACUGGUUUAAUAAUGCUGUGUAACAAACACAGUCCUUCAGCAUCAUAUAAACUACAAUAAACUUGCAUUGCUCCUGUCUCUCAGGUGACCAUCCAGGCAGCUCUGCUAGACUUGUCAGGAUAAUUCACAUGGCUAGGGCUCAGCUGGCAGGCUGUGGAUCUCACUGACAUCCAGCAUCUCAGUUCUGCUGCAUGUGCUCCCCCAACCCUCUCCAUGUGCCUUUCAUGGUGAUGGCAGAGGGCAGCAGAGAGCAAGAGCAACCACACCGGUGCAUGGGGAGCCUCGGAGUGACACACGUGGGCAUCUCCUCCAUGGCCAAGGCUGCCAUGCCUGCUGGGUAGAGGGCACCAUGAGGUCACAUGGUGACUGGUCUGGCUGCAGGGAGAAGUGAAGAUUUGGGCUGUGGCUCCAAUCCAUCGCCACUCCUUGGGCACAGCCACUGUUAUUAUAUCAAGUGAGUGAGUCAAGGCAGGGGGGGAUGUCAAAGUCCACACACCGUACUCACUUGCACAGGCUCCUGGUUUGAAUGGCUGCAGUUAACUGACUGGGCACCAUGUCAGAAAGUCACCAGGGGUGGAUAGGAAGAGAAAGGGGCAAAGGGAGAACGGGUGAUCAGGU